Molecule: non-coding RNA, 1087 nt
Organism: Microcebus murinus (gray mouse lemur)
Lineage: Eukaryota; Metazoa; Chordata; Mammalia; Primates; Cheirogaleidae
Source: RefSeq, a predicted model, not a curated record
UCUACAAAUAUUCAUUCUCUUUCCCUUGCAGGGCAUCUUCCUUUGAGGAGAACUAUGUAAAGUGAGCUCUGGGACAGGCAGAGAGAAAAUUAGAGUGACAAACUGAGUGGGUAGGGUAGGGGUAGGGAGAGAACCAGGGAUGGAGAGAGGCCUGGGAGCAGGUUCUCAUGUCCCCAGGAAUUGGUUGUGAGCUUCUUUCAUUCCCUUUAUUACUCUUUGUCUCGUGCCUCCCUAAAAUCGUGCUUGUUUGAGUGGAUAGGACUGAGUGUGGACCAAAAGGGCUGAAUUCCUCUGGUGACAGUGGGGUGGUGGUGUUCAUUCAUGGGAGAAAUGGAAAUGUUCAGGAUAGCAAAGGUAAGCUCCAGUCUCUGUAAAUCUGGAACCAGCAGUCCCAAGGGAAGAAAAAUUAGGUGGGAAUCGUUCUUUAAUCUAUUUGUGAGCAAACAUCUCCCAGACUCACUCGAGCAUAGACCUGCAUUAUGAGUUUGCCAAAGGAGGUAGUGUUGCUGGUGCUACAUUUUGGGGACUUCCUGCCUCGGACUGUGGGCCUCAGGCAGAGAAUGACAUGAAGAAGGUGCUCUGGAACAAAGCAGUUCUUCCAUGACUGGUGCUGGCAUUGCAAAGACAGAAUAAGGAAAGAGGAAAAACAGUUGAGGUAUCCUAGAGCUCUUUUUUCUUUUUCCUUCAAGAGAUGACAAUGAUACUUUGGAAAACCUCACCAGCCUUUGAAUGAUCCACAGAGUCCCUUGAAAAGGUACCAGACACACACACACGCCUACUACUGACAUUCAGAGUGCUUCAACAUCGGGAGUGCACCGAGCUACGCAAAAACGUCCUCAACAUGUUAGAGGGGGAAAUAACAUUGCCUGAACAUUUGCUAUGGGAUAGUCUUGUGAACUGAACCCCUUUUUGUAUUUGGAAGGCCGCUUGCACCGUGCCAACUUGUCAACAUCUAGAGGAUAGAGAUACUCCCAAGGGAAAUCUUGGAAGGGACAUGUCCAAGGUAAUAGAGCCACCAGCAUCCUGCGGCCCUAAAUGACAGUGUGGAGGUGGAUCCUCUCCAGGUGACCAGAAGCACUCUUUGCAU